Molecule: ribosomal RNA, 361 nt
Filed under: Bacillus subtilis
Lineage: Bacteria; Bacillati; Bacillota; Bacilli; Caryophanales; Bacillaceae
Also listed under: 2 other names
Description: bacterial SSU rRNA
Rfam family: Bacterial small subunit ribosomal RNA
Source: RNAcentral
UUAUCGGAGAGUUUGAUCCUGGCUCAGGACGAACGCUGGCGGCGUGCCUAAUACAUGCAAGUCGAGCGGACAGAUGGGAGCUUGCUCCCUGAUGUUAGCGGCGGACGGGUGAGUAACACGUGGGUAACCUGCCUGUAAGACUGGGAUAACUCCGGGAAACCGGGGCUAAUACCGGAUGGUUGUUUGAACCGCAUGGUUCAAACAUAAAAGGUGGCUUCGGCUACCACUUACAGAUGGACCCGCGGCGCAUUAGCUAGUUGGUGAGGUAACGGCUCACCAAGGCGACGAUGCGUAGCCGACCUGAGAGGGUGAUCGGCCACACUGGGACUGAGACACGGCCCAGACUCCUACGGGAGGCAGC